CCUUCAUAGCCACGACUCCCAAAUCCAGAAAAAUACUUCCUUAUUAAAUGUAUGUACGCAGUACCCACUGACAGCACUGACUGAUCUGAACUACAAAGCAACCUGCAUUAAAAGGAGAGUACACCCAGGUAGACAAAUAGUAUGGAUAUCACAACCUUUGUAGCCAAAGAAAGUUGGUGCUGUGAACCUAUAGCCUGUAUUCCCCUGCAUAUUACUUGCCCAGGGUAUAAUUACCCCUCAGCCCCUUGUCAGUCUCCCUUGCUGCCAGGGAAACUGGCAUUGACAUGGAUAACCAACAUAGUCUUAAAUUAGA
Molecule: non-coding RNA, 313 nt
Organism: Pelobates cultripes (western spadefoot toad)
Lineage: Eukaryota; Metazoa; Chordata; Amphibia; Anura; Pelobatidae
Source: the annotation of a GenBank genome assembly